This is a long non-coding RNA of Rhodamnia argentea, 615 nucleotides long. RefSeq lists it as uncharacterized. NCBI's taxonomy places the organism in Eukaryota, Viridiplantae, Streptophyta, Magnoliopsida, Myrtales, Myrtaceae. The record is from RefSeq and is a predicted model, not a curated record. The transcript is spliced from 2 exons.
CCCAAGUUAUACAUUUAGAAAGGAAAGAGAUACCUUAAGUACAAUAAAGCAAUGGAACUUUACAAAUGAGGAAAUUAUUUCACAGAACCUGAAUAAAAGAAUCAUAAUAUGUAAUCACAAACUAAAAGAAAAACUCUCCUACUUCAUUCAAGAAAUGUUAGUAUAUUGAUAUGCUUAAUUGCUUAUACUUAAUGGGAUUUCCAAAUUGUACAAAAUUGCACGCUCCAUCACAUCACUGACACAUUCCACUGAAUUUGUAUGGCCAAGGAAACGAUUUACCUUUUUUAGAACGGAGAUAAAAAAAGAUAUGUGCAAAGUACAGCUUUCCAUCCCAAAUUCAACUAACUUAACGUGUUAUAUAAAGCAUCCAAGAUAACUCUUGCCAGGAAGUAGACGUUAUUUAAGCCAUACAUAAACCAGAAUAACUCUUGGCAAGAAAAUAAAUUCAUACACAGACAUCAGUGGUGGACUUAUUUCUUUCAAAACAUAUGCAUUUCAAAUUCAAUUUUGAAAAGUCAAUAGGAUGACUGAUUACCAAAAAAAAAAAGAAAAGAAGAGGAAUCAGAGAGAAAGAAAAACGAAUCUCAGAACAGAGAGUCUAAAUAGUUGCAAAAA